RNAcentral lists this ribosomal RNA (324 nucleotides) under Elusimicrobia bacterium GWA2_64_40. Its description in RNAcentral is "bacterial LSU rRNA". It matches the Rfam family "Bacterial large subunit ribosomal RNA", at positions 2610 to 2925 of the family's 2925-position model. The record is from RNAcentral. Lineage: Bacteria; Pseudomonadati; Elusimicrobiota.
UUCAGUACGUCGUGAGACAGUACGGUCUCUAUCUGAUAUGCGCGCAGGAUACUUGAGGGGAGCUGCCUACAGUACGAGAGGACCUAGGUGGACGAGCCGCCCGUAUACCAGUUGUCGUGCCAACGGCAUAAGCUGGGUAGCGGUGCUCGGUAGGGAUAAACGCUGAAAGCAUCUAAGCGUGAAACCCGCCCCAAGAUAAGGUAUCCCUGGACUUAAUUGUCCCUAAAGACCCCCAGAAGACUACUGGGUUGAUAGGUCAGAUGUGUAAGCAUGGUAACAUGUUCAGCUAACUGAUACUAAUCGGUCGUGAGGCUUGGCCUUAUU